This 426-nucleotide ribosomal RNA is filed under the name Klebsiella pneumoniae. RNAcentral describes it as "bacterial SSU rRNA". It matches the Rfam family "Bacterial small subunit ribosomal RNA", at positions 870 to 1296 of the family's 1533-position model. The record is from RNAcentral. Lineage: Bacteria; Pseudomonadati; Pseudomonadota; Gammaproteobacteria; Enterobacterales; Enterobacteriaceae.
CGCCUGGGGAGUACGGCCGCAAGGUUAAAACUCAAAUGAAUUGACGGGGGCCCGCACAAGCGGUGGAGCAUGUGGUUUAAUUCGAUGCAACGCGAAGAACCUUACCUGGUCUUGACAUCCACAGAACUUUCCAGAGAUGGAUUGGUGCCUUCGGGAACUGUGAGACAGGUGCUGCAUGGCUGUCGUCAGCUCGUGUUGUGAAAUGUUGGGUUAAGUCCCGCAACGAGCGCAACCCUUAUCCUUUGUUGCCAGCGGUCCGGCCGGGAACUCAAAGGAGACUGCCAGUGAUAAACUGGAGGAAGGUGGGGAUGACGUCAAGUCAUCAUGGCCCUUACGACCAGGGCUACACACGUGCUACAAUGGCAUAUACAAAGAGAAGCGACCUCGCGAGAGCAAGCGGACCUCAUAAAGUAUGUCGUAGUCCGG